RNAcentral lists this non-coding RNA (121 nucleotides) under Lacticaseibacillus nasuensis. Its description in RNAcentral is "Lactobacillus nasuensis FMN sequence". It matches the Rfam family "FMN riboswitch aptamer (RFN element)". From Rfam's summary of the family: The RFN element is a highly conserved domain that is found frequently in the 5'-untranslated regions of prokaryotic mRNAs that encode for flavin mononucleotide (FMN) biosynthesis and transport proteins. Lineage: Bacteria; Bacillati; Bacillota; Bacilli; Lactobacillales; Lactobacillaceae. The record is from RNAcentral. RNAcentral also lists the same sequence under 1 other name.
GUUCGUCUUCAGGGCAGGGUGUAAUUCCCGACCGGUGGUAAAGUCCACGACCCGCGUUUUCGCGGCCGAUUCGGUGAAAUUCCGAAACCGAUAGUGAGAGUCUAGUAUAAAGAAGAUGGGG